Molecule: ribosomal RNA, 491 nt
Filed under: uncultured bacterium
Lineage: Bacteria
Description: bacterial SSU rRNA
Rfam family: Bacterial small subunit ribosomal RNA
Source: RNAcentral
AAAGGAAUAGACGGGGGCCCGCACAAGCAGUGGAUUAUGUGGUUUAAUUCGACGCAACGCGAAGAACCUUACCAGGACUUGACAUCCAACUAACGAAGUAGAGAUACAUUAGGUGCCCUUCGGGGAAAGUUGAGACAGGUGGUGCAUGGUUGUCGUCAGCUCGUGUCGUGAGAUGUUGGGUUAAGUCCCGCAACGAGCGCAACCCCUAUUGUUAGUUGCUACGCAAGAGCACUCUAGCGAGACUGCCGUUGACAAAACGGAGGAAGGCGGGGACGACGUCAAAUCAUCAUGCCCCUUAUGUCCUGGGCUACACACGUAAUACAAUGGCCGUCAACAAUGGGAAGCAAAACCGCGAGGUAGAGCAAAUCCCCAAAAACGGUCUCAGUUCGGAUUGCAGGCUGCAACUCGCCUGCAUGAAGCUGGAAUUGCUAGUAAUCGUGGAUCAGCAUGCCACGGUGAAUACGUUCCCGGGCCUUGUACACACCGCCCGU